CUUGUGAUGAAGCCUGCCAGCACACAGCUUCAUGCCCCUGUGAACUCAACCAGGGCCUGGCUUGCAGAUGGAUCUGGCCCACUCAAGACAGAUUAUGACCUAUUUUAAGGGAUCCCUGCUUCCAUUCAGGCUCCUCAAGUAAGCUUACAGCUCUUCAGGGCCAACGCUGCUCUGGGAUAGGUUGCAGAAGACCCAGUCAGCCACAGCAAGUCUUAGGCACUGUAGCCCUCAGCAGCACCGAUGGGCAAGAUGAACAGACAUGGAGGCCUGUGUGUGUUGCGCACUGUUCCAGAAAUCCCAUGAAGAACCGAAGAGAGUCCUUACCUCAAGGCUUAUAGUCUCGUUUCUCCUGUCUUUACUCCCAAAUAAUUGGCUCUGAAAAGGAUUUGGUUCUCUGCCGUCUUUUCUUUCAGUGAAUUCCCAAGGCAGCUCCAUGGCUGCCGGAAAGCAGCGAGAGAAAAGCAUCACAUGGCUGGCCUGUGCUCCUCGGGGAGUUGCUCUGGGGGACUGCCUGGAGCAUUGCCCCAGAGGCUUAGCAUCCCCAGCUUCUGGGCACUGAGUGCUGCUCACCUGCUACUCCCAGUCACCUUGACAACCAAAAACAUCCGCCGCCCCGCCCCUCCAUUUUGAAAUGGCAGUAAGGCUCUCACAUGAAAAUCACCAAAUACGUUUGAUGACAUUUUUGUUUCAAAAUCUCUUACCCAAUGCAAGUGGAGCCGGCAGACUGUGAACCGCAGGUACAGUUUAGCACACGACCUUUUUUGGUGUGGCUAAAGAUGGUUUUCAUAUUAUUUUAUUUUAUUUUUAGUAUUAUUAUUAUUUUCAUAUUUCUAGAGGGUUGGGAGGAAGAGGAGGAGAGGAAGUGAAAGAGUCCACAUUUCUUCUGUGGUCCAGGUAAAGGUCACAGUCCGUCAGGCAACGACCAAGGACUGCCAGGUGCUGGUGAUACCAUGCCGGAGAAGCGCUCACUGUUGCCCCAAGGGGACAACAGUCCUGCGUGGGGGAGAAUGAAUGCACCCAUGGGUUUCAUGGUGCAAGUAUGUGGCAGCUGUGUUCUGACCCAGGAAAAGGGCCUGAGGACCAGUCCAAGAGGCGAGGAGGGCAGAGUGGAAGGGAAGGAGCCAGCUUGCUGCCGAUGCUAUACAGAGCUUCCCCAUCUCUGGACUGACUGGCUGCUGUGGAAGGUACCAGACUCGGGCCCUGUUUCCCCAUCCUUAUCUGUAAAGUGA
RNAcentral lists this long non-coding RNA (1229 nucleotides) under Mustela putorius furo (domestic ferret). RNAcentral's name for it is "lncRNA (ENSMPUG00000031206.1)". The record is from RNAcentral. Lineage: Eukaryota; Metazoa; Chordata; Mammalia; Carnivora; Mustelidae.